UUUCCGUAGGUGAACCUGCGGAAGGAUCAUUACCGAGUUGACUCGAGCUCCGGCUCGACUCUCCCACCCUAUGUGUACCUACCUCUGUUGCUUUGGCGGGCCGCGGUCCUCCGCACCGGCCCCCCUUCGGGGGGCUGGCCAGCGCCCGCCAGAGGACCACAAAACUCCAGUCAGCAAACGUCGCAGUCUGAAAAACAAGUUAAUAAACUAAAACUUUCAACAACGGAUCUCUUGGUUCUGGCAUCGAUGAAGAACGCAGCGAAAUGCGAUAAGUAAUGUGAAUUGCAGAAUUCAGUGAAUCAUCGAAUCUUUGAACGCACAUUGCGCCCCUUGGUAUUCCGAGGGGCAUGCCUGUUCGAGCGUCAUUUCAACCCUCAAGCUCUGCUUGGUAUUGGGCUCCGUCCUCCACGGACGCGCCUCGAAGACCUCGGCGGUGGCGUCUUGCCUCGAGCGUAGUAGAAAACACCUCGCUUUGGAGCGCACGGCGUCGCCCGCCGGACGAACCUUUGAAUUUUUCUCAAGGUUGACCUCGGAUCAGGUAGGGAUACCCGCUGAACUUAA
RNAcentral lists this ribosomal RNA (561 nucleotides) under Neofusicoccum mediterraneum. Its description in RNAcentral is "eukaryotic LSU rRNA". The stretch from base 212 to 365 matches the Rfam family "5.8S ribosomal RNA". Lineage: Eukaryota; Fungi; Ascomycota; Dothideomycetes; Botryosphaeriales; Botryosphaeriaceae. The record is from RNAcentral.